Molecule: ribosomal RNA, 381 nt
Filed under: Brachymetra albinervis albinervis
Lineage: Eukaryota; Metazoa; Arthropoda; Insecta; Hemiptera; Gerridae
Description: partial 16S ribosomal RNA
Source: RNAcentral
GGUCUGCCAUUGAUUAUAAUAUUAAAAGGCUGCGGUAUUUUAACUGUACGAAGGUASCMUAWUCAUUUGUCUUUUAAUUGAAGGCUGGUAUGAAUGGUUUGAUGAAAAAUAAACUUUCUCAUUUUAAUUUAAUUGAAUUUAAUUUUUUAGUUAAAAAGCUAAAAUUUUUUUAUAGGACGAGAAGACCCCAUAGAAGUUUACUAAGUUUAUAAUUUUUUAUUUUUUGUUUUUUUAUUAUUUUUUUAGAAUAUUUAGUUUUGUUGGGGUGACAUUAAAAUUUAUUUAACUUUUAUUUUUUUUUUCAUAAGUUUAUGUUUUUUUUGAUCCUGAAUUUUGGAUUUUUAGAUUAACUUACUUUAGGGAUAACAGCGUAAUUUUUUA